RNAcentral lists this ribosomal RNA (138 nucleotides) under uncultured eukaryote. RNAcentral's name for it is "partial 18S ribosomal RNA". It matches the Rfam family "Eukaryotic small subunit ribosomal RNA", at positions 1299 to 1458 of the family's 1831-position model. The record is from RNAcentral.
UGGUGGAGUGAUUUGUCUGGUUAAUUCCGUUAACGAACGAGACCUCAGCCUGCUAAAUAGCAGGGCCAACCUUGGUUGGUGUACAGCUUCUUAGAGGGACUGUCGGUAUCUAGCCGAAGGAAGUUUGAGGCAAUAACA